UGCAAGUCGAGCGGUAGAGAGAAGCUUGCUUCUCUUGAGAGCGGCGGACGGGUGAGUAAUGCCUAGGAAUCUGCCUGGUAGUGGGGGAUAACGCUCGGAAACGGACGCUAAUACCGCAUACGUCCUACGGGAGAAAGCAGGGGACCUUCGGGCCUUGCGCUAUCAGAUGAGCCUAGGUCGGAUUAGCUAGUUGGUGAGGUAAUGGCUCACCAAGGCGACGAUCCGUAACUGGUCUGAGAGGAUGAUCAGUCACACUGGAACUGAGACACGGUCCAGACUCCUACGGGAGGCAGCAGUGGGGAAUAUUGGACAAUGGGCGAAAGCCUGAUCCAGCCAUGCCGCGUGUGUGAAGAAGGUCUUCGGAUUGUAAAGCACUUUAAGUUGGGAGGAAGGGCAGUAAAUUAAUACUUUGCUGUUUUGACGUUACCGACAGAAUAAGCACCGGCUAACUCUGUGCCAGCAGCCGCGGUAAUACAGAGGGUGCAAGCGUUAAUCGGAAUUACUGGGCGUAAAGCGCGCGUAGGUGGUUCGUUAAGUUGGAUGUGAAAUCCCCGGGCUCAACCUGGGAACUGCAUUCAAAACUGUCGAGCUAGAGUAUGGUA
Molecule: ribosomal RNA, 602 nt
Filed under: Pseudomonas sp. 8D32
Lineage: Bacteria; Pseudomonadati; Pseudomonadota; Gammaproteobacteria; Pseudomonadales; Pseudomonadaceae
Description: bacterial SSU rRNA
Rfam family: Bacterial small subunit ribosomal RNA
Source: RNAcentral